AGUGAACGCUGGCGGUAGGCCUAACACAUGCAAGUCGAACGGCAGCACAGUAAGAGCUUGCUCUUACGGGUGGCGAGUGGCGGACGGGUGAGGAAUACAUCGGAAUCUACUUUUUCGUGGGGGAUAACGUAGGGAAACUUACGCUAAUACCGCAUACGACCUACGGGUGAAAGCAGGGGAUCUUCGGACCUUGCGCGAUUGAAUGAGCCGAUGUCGGAUUAGCUAGUUGGCGGGGUAAAGGCCCACCAAGGCGACGAUCCGUAGCUGGUCUGAGAGGAUGAUCAGCCACACUGGAGCUGAGACACGGCCCAGACUCCUACGGGAGGCAGCAGUGGGGAAUAUUGGCCAAUGGGCGCAAGCCUGAUCCAGCCAUACCGCGUGGGUGAAGAAGGCCUUCGGGUUGUAAAGCCCUUUUGUGGGGGAAGAAAAGCAGCAGGUUAAUACCCCGCUGUUCUGACGGUACCCAAAGAAUAAACACCGGCUAACUUCGU
Molecule: ribosomal RNA, 491 nt
Filed under: uncultured bacterium
Lineage: Bacteria
Description: partial 16S ribosomal RNA
Rfam family: Bacterial small subunit ribosomal RNA
Source: RNAcentral